RNAcentral lists this ribosomal RNA (403 nucleotides) under bacterium. Its description in RNAcentral is "partial 16S ribosomal RNA". It matches the Rfam family "Bacterial small subunit ribosomal RNA", at positions 355 to 776 of the family's 1533-position model. The record is from RNAcentral.
UGGGGAAUAUUGCACAAUGGGGGAAACCCUGAUGCAGCGACGCCGCGUGAACGAAGAAGGUAUUCGUAUCGUAAAGUUCCGUCCUAUGGGAAGAUAAUGACAGUACCAUAGAAGAAAGCUCCGGCUAAAUACGUGCCAGCAGCCGCGGUAAUACGUAUGGAGCGAGCGUUGUCCGGAAUUAUUGGGCGUAAAGGGUACGCAGGCGGUUUAAUAAGUCGAAUGUUAAAGAUCGGGGCUCAACCCCGCAAAGCAUUGGAAACUGAUAAACUUGAGUAGUGGAGAGGAAAGUGGAAUUCCUAGUGUAGUGGUGAAAUACGUAGAUAUUAGGAGGAAUACCAGUAGCGAAGGCGACUUUCUGGACACAAACUGACGCUGAGGUACGAAAGCGUGGGGAGCAAACAGG